RNAcentral lists this ribosomal RNA (425 nucleotides) under uncultured bacterium. Its description in RNAcentral is "partial 16S ribosomal RNA". It matches the Rfam family "Bacterial small subunit ribosomal RNA", at positions 354 to 796 of the family's 1533-position model. The record is from RNAcentral.
GUGGGGAAUAUUGGACAAUGGGCGAAAGCCUGAUCCAGCAAUGCCGCGUGAGUGAUGAAGGCCUUAGGGUUGUAAAGCUCUUUUACCCGGGAUGAUAAUGACAGUACCGGGAGAAUAAGCUCCGGCUAACUCCGUGCCAGCAGCCGCGGUAAUACGGAGGGAGCUAGCGUUGUUCGGAAUUACUGGGCGUAAAGCGCACGUAGGCGGCUUUGUAAGUUAGAGGUGAAAGCCUGGAGCUUAACUCCAGAACUGCCUUUAAGACUGCAUCGCUUGAAUACAGGAGAGGUGAGCGGAAUUCCGAGUGUAGAGGUGAAAUUCGUAGAUAUUCGGAAGAACACCAGUGGCGAAGGCGGCUCACUGGACUGGUAUUGACGCUGAGGUGCGAAAGCGUGGGGAGCAAACAGGAUUAGAAACCCGUGUAGUCC